UGGAAUUCGGUAAUUAUUCGUUUUCGUGACACGUAUUCAGGACUUUUUUUGGUAGAAUUGUUUACACCUGAUCUCCAUGAUAUUCCACCCUGGACACUAAUCCAGACACAUUAACCUUCCCAGAAACCAGUGUCAUGCAAACUCGUUCGAGUCCAAAUGCUUUCCGAGUUUCAAAGUUUUGCGAUCGUCUAAAUAUUUCAAAUUAAUGGUAACGAUAAACUUUGUCGGAUAGAAAAACUUUCAGUAUAGUAAUAGUCUGUAUCACCUGGCAAUCUGACUUCCUUGAAUAGCACAAACCGUCGUCUUUUUAUAUCCUUGCAUUAUGGAAACUGUACAAAAGUAAGGACAAUUAGUAGUGGUCGAAAAAUGCAAGUGUUACUCCGGAGCUCCUAUUGAACCACUAAUAAUCUAAUCGUUGCACAAUUAUUUCGUGAUUACUUUGUGUGGAAAUGAACCACAACGGCAGCCGAUACACGUCGUUCGCCUUUGCUAGUGGAGGGAUCGCUGGCAGCGGCGGUGCCCGAGGGGAACUGAGCAGUGGUAAUUUGAGCAGAAAGCUGAGUAGUCCGAUGGCAGAGUCGACACAGCUGGACAGCAGCGGUAUCCGGGGGAAUCUUUACGACAGUCCGGUACAUGUUGGAGUUGGGAAAAGAAGCCUACCUCUCCGUUGCAAAAUAGCAGGACAAAUUUUAGAAGCAGCUGAACGGCGUCCGGGUCCAGUAUGGAUCGAUUGAUUGAUCCUAAGAUUUACACGGAUGUUCAGAGCCGAGGAUUGGUUAACCGGUUGGUAAAGAACCACGAUAAAACGCAAUCGCCGUUAAAUAGGAGUCAAUCGAUGACUAGCCUGUACUCGAAGCCGGGUCAAUUUCCUGUGUGGUGGAGGAGAAAUAAUUCUUCGAUAGCUACCAUUGGUUCGGAUUUCCCCGUCAGAGAAGUCCGUGUUUCAGGCUGACACAAGGUGGAACAUUUUACGGGAGGGAUCGUUGCUCAUUCCGGCGGAACCUCAUCUGAAGAUGGUCCGAACACAUAGACACGAGGAUAAGAUUGAUGCGGAAAAUAGUGUGAUUGCGUCUUCAACAGAACUGGAUGCCGAUUGGAUCAAGAAACAAUGUAAGGAACUAUCGGAGGUUGAUUCAGGCGAAGCUGGUACGAAGCAAGCUCGGGAAAUUACAUACACGGCUUCGCACCCGUGUCGAGGGUCGACGAAUCAGCAGCUACAGACGAAGAAAUGUAGUAAAAAUAAUAAGUUCACUUAGCUCGAGCCUGGUGAUGAACACUCCGAAAGUGGAACACGUAGCGCACCGGCCGGCACGAUUAAAUGUGGAUGUCUCUCGACGCCGGCAACAUUGGAUGCGACGGUUCCAGUUAGCAUGAUUGAAUCGAGCAAACCGGCAAAAUUAAGUAGGAUUGAUUCCGCUCCUUUGCCACAUAUUACGAGAAUUGUUCCGGAGUUUCAACUGCCUCUGAUGGAAUAUCCGCCACUAAAACUAACGUUGUUUAACAAAAAAUACAACGUCCAUGACAUGACGAAACGGUGGUUCGACCCACGUCCACAGACAGUGAAGAUAAGGAUGAUGAUAAAGUAGGCGGACGAAUCAGUUUCAUUAAGCCAAAGGAUAAAUCGCCUAUGCCAAGGUUGUUUUGAAGAGGUUCGAGCGCUCGAAAUCAUCGUUGAUUCUGAGCUGCUUGAGUGAUGAUUUUGAUGAAGACGAGGAAUCGCCUAUAGUUACGCCAUCGCAGGGUUCAUUUUAUACGAUAGACACCGCGGAUGCACCACCGAAGGUUGAAGAGAAGAAACGGCUUCCGUCCCGACAAUGAGCGGUAUUUCAGCAAUAGUUAACAGCCCGAUCAAGGAUCCUGGCCUAGGUAACCGAAACCGGUGGAAAAUGUAAAAACGAUAGAGCAACCGAAGUAAACCACGGGAUUUGCUUUCGGAAGUACAACUGCUACCGUCAGCUCGGCUCCGGUUACAGCACAUCAAUCCGAUACAUAAUUUACGUUUGGGACGCCCACUUAACCGUUACUGCUAAAAUCAUAUCAUCGGAAAUACCACGUAUCGUUUUCCUGUGCUUGGAUUUCGGUACGUACGGAAUCGGACGGCGUUUAUGGCCGAUACCAUUUUAUCGGAAAAUAAUGCGAUUCGAGGUAUUAAUCACACGCCUACAUCAAAAAAUUAUAUAAUUUGCAACUAAUAUUUUAAAAAGCC
Molecule: long non-coding RNA, 2206 nt
Organism: Topomyia yanbarensis
Lineage: Eukaryota; Metazoa; Arthropoda; Insecta; Diptera; Culicidae
Exons: 3
Source: RefSeq, a predicted model, not a curated record